This 448-nucleotide ribosomal RNA is filed under the name Campylobacter sp. canine oral taxon 011. Its description in RNAcentral is "bacterial SSU rRNA". It matches the Rfam family "Bacterial small subunit ribosomal RNA", at positions 9 to 457 of the family's 1533-position model. The record is from RNAcentral. Lineage: Bacteria; Pseudomonadati; Campylobacterota; Epsilonproteobacteria; Campylobacterales; Campylobacteraceae.
GAGUUUGAUUAUGGCUCAGAGUGAACGCUGGCGGCGUGCCUAAUACAUGCAAGUCGAACGGAGAUAUGAGGGCUUGCUCUUAUAUCUUAGUGGCGCACGGGUGAGUAAUGUAUAGCUAAUCUGCCCUACACUAGAGGACCACAGUUGGAAACGACUGCUAAUACUCUAUACUCCUUCUUUACAUAAGUUAAGUCGGGAAAGUUUUUCGGUGUAGGAUGAGGCUAUAUCCUAUCAGCUAGUUGGUGAGGUAAUGGCUCACCAAGGCUAUGACGCGUAACUGGUCUGAGAGGAUGAUCAGUCACACUGGAACUGAGACACGGUCCAGACUCCUACGGGAGGCAGCAGUAGGGAAUAUUGCUCAAUGGGGGAAACCCUGAAGCAGCAACGCCGCGUGGAGGAUGACACUUUUCGGAGCGUAAACUCCUUUUCUUGGGAAAGAAUUAUGACG